Molecule: ribosomal RNA, 254 nt
Filed under: uncultured Staphylococcus sp.
Lineage: Bacteria; Bacillati; Bacillota; Bacilli; Caryophanales; Staphylococcaceae
Description: partial 16S ribosomal RNA
Rfam family: Bacterial small subunit ribosomal RNA
Source: RNAcentral
CUGACGUUAGCGGCGGACGGGUGAGUAACACGUGGGUAACCUACCUAUAAGACUGGGAUAACUCCGGGAAACCGGGGCUAAUACCGGAUAACACAUGAAACCGCAUGGUUUCAUGAUGAAAGACGGUUUUGCUGUCACUUAUAGAUGGACCCGCGGCGUAUUAGCUAGUUGGUAAGGUAACGGCUUACCAAGGCAACGAUACGUAGCCGACCUGAGAGGGUGAUCGGCCACACUGGAACUGAGACACGGUCCAG